This 409-nucleotide ribosomal RNA is filed under the name uncultured bacterium. RNAcentral's name for it is "bacterial SSU rRNA". It matches the Rfam family "Bacterial small subunit ribosomal RNA", at positions 28 to 424 of the family's 1533-position model. The record is from RNAcentral.
GAUGAACGCUAGCUACAGGCUUAACACAUGCAAGUCGAGGGGAAACGAUAUUGGAAGCUUGCUUCUGAUAGGCGUCGACCGGCGCACGGGUGAGUAACGCGUAUCCAACCUGCCCAUCACUUGGGGAUAACCUUGCGAAAGUAAGACUAAUACCCAAUGACGUCUCUAGAAGACAUCUGAAAGAGAUUAAAAGAUUUAUCGGUGAUGGAUGGGGAUGCGUCUGAUUAGCUUGUUGGCGGGGUAACGGCCCACCAAGGCGACGAUCAGUAGGGGUUUUGAGAGGAAGGUCCCCCACAUUGGAACUGAGACACGGUCCAAACUCCUACGGGAGGCAGCAGUGAGGAAUAUUGGGUCAAUGGACGAGAGUCUGACCAGCCAAGUAGCGUGCAGGAUGACGGCCCUAUGGGUU